UACGUAGGGUGCGAGCGUUAAUCGGAAUUACUGGGCGUAAAGUGUGCGCAGGUGGCCGCGCAAGUCGAGUGUGAAAGCCCCGGGCUUAACUUGGGAAUUGCGCUCGAAACUACGUGGCUCGAGUGUGGCAGAGGAAGGUGGAAUUCCACGUGUAGCGGUGAAAUGCGUAGAGAUGUGGAGGAACACCGACGGCGAAGGCAGCCUUCUGGGCCAACACUGACACUCAUGCACGAAAGCGUGGGGAGCAAACAGG
Molecule: ribosomal RNA, 253 nt
Filed under: uncultured bacterium
Lineage: Bacteria
Description: partial 16S ribosomal RNA
Rfam family: Bacterial small subunit ribosomal RNA
Source: RNAcentral